GAUGAACGCUGGCGGCGUGCUUAACACAUGCAAGUCGAACGGAAAGGCUCCUGCUUGCCGGGGUACUCGAGUGGCGAACGGGUGAGUAACACGUGGGUGAUCUGCCCUGCACUUCGGGAUCAGCCUGGGAAACUGGGUCUAAUACCGGAUAGGACGAUGGUUUGGAUGCCAUUGUGGAAAGUUUUUCGGUGUGGGAUGAGCUCGCGGCCUAUCAGCUUGUUGGUGGGGUAAUGGCCUACCAAGGCGUCGACGGGUAGCCGGCCUGAGAGGGUGUACGGCCACAUUGGGACUGAGAUACGGCCCAGACUCCUACGGGAGGCAGCAGUGGGGAAUAUUGCACAAUGGGCGCAAGCCUGAUGCAGCGACGCCGCGUGGGGGAUGACGGCCUUCGGGUUGUAAACUCCUUUCGCUAGGGACGAAGCGCAAGUGACGGUACCUGGAGAAGAAGCACCGGCUAACUACGUG
This 465-nucleotide ribosomal RNA is filed under the name uncultured bacterium. RNAcentral describes it as "partial 16S ribosomal RNA". It matches the Rfam family "Bacterial small subunit ribosomal RNA", at positions 28 to 507 of the family's 1533-position model. The record is from RNAcentral.